RNAcentral lists this ribosomal RNA (615 nucleotides) under uncultured bacterium. Its description in RNAcentral is "bacterial SSU rRNA". It matches the Rfam family "Bacterial small subunit ribosomal RNA", at positions 338 to 943 of the family's 1533-position model. The record is from RNAcentral.
CCUACGGGAGGCAGCAGUGGGGAAUUUUGGACAAUGGGCGAAAGCCUGAUCCAGCCAUUCCGCGUGAGUGAAGAAGGCCUUCGGGUUGUAAAGCUCUUUCGCAAGGAAAGAAAACUUAUCUCCUAAUACGGGGUGAGGAUGACGGUACCUUGAUAAGAAGCACCGGCUAACUACGUGCCAGCAGCCGCGGUAAUACGUAGGGUGCGAGCGUUAAUCGGAAUUACUGGGCGUAAAGCGUGCGCAGGCUGUUUUGUAAGUCAGAUGUGAAAUCCCUGGGCUCAACCUAGGAACUGCGUUUGAAACUACAAGGCUAGAGUGUAGCAGAGGGGGGUAGAAUUCCACGUGUAGCAGUGAAAUGCGUAGAGAUGUGGAGGAAUACCAAUGGCGAAGGCAGCCCCCUGGGUUAACACUGACGCUCAUGCACGAAAGCGUGGGGAGCAAACAGGAUUAGAUACCCUGGUAGUCCACGCCCUAAACGAUGUCUACUAGUUGUUGGGAGAGUAAAAUCUCUUAGUAACGCAGCUAACGCGUGAAGUAGACCGCCUGGGGAGUACGGUCGCAAGAUUAAAACUUAAAUGAAUUGACGGNUUGNGAGNGCGAGAGACACGAGGAGAG